UAAUAAUAAUAAUAAUAAUGUAUAUUAAUAACAGUACAUACACCCUUUUAAAUACAAAUAUACAUGAGUAACAGUAACAAUUUAAUACACAAGAGUACUAAAUACACAAGAGUAAUAGUAACAGUUUCAUACACAAGAGUAUUAAAUAUACAAGAGUAACAGUUUAAUACACAAGAGUACUAAAUACACAAGAGUAAAUACACGACUAACAGUAACAUUUAAUACACAAGAGUACUAAAUACACAAGAGUAAUAGUAACAGUUUCAUACACAAGAGUAUUAAAUAUACAAGAGUAACAGUUUAAUACACAAGAGUACUAAAUACACAAGAGUAAUAGUAACAGUUUCAUACACAAGAGUAA
Molecule: long non-coding RNA, 361 nt
Organism: Juglans microcarpa x Juglans regia
Lineage: Eukaryota; Viridiplantae; Streptophyta; Magnoliopsida; Fagales; Juglandaceae
Exons: 2
Source: RefSeq, a predicted model, not a curated record